CAGUCGCCACGGUAAUACGAAGGGGGCUAGCGUUGCUCGGAAUUACUGGGCGUAAAGGGCGCGUAGGCGGAUGUUUAAGUCAGAGGUGAAAGCCCAGGGCUCAACCUUGGAACUGCCUUUGAUACUGGACAUCUUGAGUAUGGGAGAGGUGAGUGGAACUCCGAGUGUAGAGGUGAAAUUCGUAGAUAUUCGGAAGAACACCAGUGGCGAAGGCGACUCACUGGCCCAUUACUGACGCUGAGGCGCGAAAGCGUGGGGAGCAAACAGGAUUAGAUACCCGAGUAGUCCCUGUCUCUAUACA
RNAcentral lists this ribosomal RNA (301 nucleotides) under uncultured bacterium. RNAcentral's name for it is "partial 16S ribosomal RNA". It matches the Rfam family "Bacterial small subunit ribosomal RNA", at positions 509 to 808 of the family's 1533-position model. The record is from RNAcentral.